GACGAACGCUGGCGGCGUGCCUAAUACAUGCCAGUUGAGCGCUGAAGGUUGGUACCUGUACCAACUGGAUGAGCAGCGAACGGGUGAGUAACGCGUGGGGAAUCUGCCUUUGAGCGGGGGACAACAUUUGGAAACGAAUGCUAAUACCGCAUAAAAACUUUAAACACAAGUUUUAAGUUUGAAAGAUGCAAUUGCAUCACUCAAAGAUGAUCCCGCGUUGUAUUAGCUAGUUGGUGAGGUAAAGGCUCACCAAGGCGAUGAUACAUAGCCGACCUGAGAGGGUGAUCGGCCACAUUGGGACUGAGACACGGCCCAAACUCCUACGGGAGGCAGCAGUAGGGAAUCUUCGGCAAUGGACGAAAGUCUGACCGAGCAACGCCGCGUGAGUGAAGAAGGUUUUCGGAUCGUAAAACUCUGUUGGUAGAGAAGAACGUUGGUGAGAGUGGAAAGCUCAUCAAGUGACGGUAACUACCCAGAAAGGGACGGCUAACUACGUG
Molecule: ribosomal RNA, 497 nt
Filed under: uncultured bacterium
Lineage: Bacteria
Description: partial 16S ribosomal RNA
Rfam family: Bacterial small subunit ribosomal RNA
Source: RNAcentral